GAUGAACGCUGACAGAAUGCUUAACACAUGCAAGUCUUUGGCGAAUCUGCGCUUGCGCAGGCUAGCCAAGGCGGACGGGUGAGUAGCGCGUAAAGAGCUUGCCCUGCAGACAGGGAUAACAGACGGAAACGACUGACAACACCCGAUACGGUUGCCGGCACGCAUGUGCCAGGCAAUGAAAAGCGAUGCUGCAGGAGAGCUUUGCGUCCUAUUAGCUUGUUGGUGAGGUAACGGCUCACCAAGGCGACGAUAGGUAGCCGGCCUGAGAGGGUGAACGGCCACAAAGGGACUGAGAUACGGCCCUUACUCCUACGGGAGGCAGCAGUGGGGAAUAUUGGACAAUGGGGGCAACCCUGAUCCAGCAAUUCUGUGUGCACGAAGAAGGCUUUCGGGCUGUAAAGUGCUUUCAGCAGGGAAGAAGCAAGUGACG
Molecule: ribosomal RNA, 430 nt
Filed under: Leptotrichia sp. oral taxon 223
Lineage: Bacteria; Fusobacteriati; Fusobacteriota; Fusobacteriia; Fusobacteriales; Leptotrichiaceae
Description: bacterial SSU rRNA
Rfam family: Bacterial small subunit ribosomal RNA
Source: RNAcentral